GCUGAGGUAGCUAAGCCCGGUUCACGGCGCCAGCCUUGAGAGUUGGUGGUACUCCGUACCUCGGGAGUUCAAAUCUCCCCCUCAGCG
Euryarchaeota archaeon RBG_13_57_23 is the source of this 87-nucleotide non-coding RNA. The record is from Rfam. NCBI's taxonomy places the organism in Archaea, Methanobacteriati, Methanobacteriota.